ACGUAGGAGGCAAGCGUUAUCCGGAGUUACUGGGCGUAAAGGGCGUGCAGGCGGUUGGCUAAGUUCGUUGUGAAAGCGCCCAGGCUUAACCAGGCGAGGACAAUGAAGACUGGUCAGCUAGAGUGCGUCAGAGGGGGGUGGAAUUCCACGUGUAGCAGUGAAAUGCGUAGAGAUGUGGAGGAACACCGAUGGCGAAGGCAGCCCCCUGGGAUGACACUGACGCUCAUGUACGAAAGCGCGGGUAGCAAACAG
RNAcentral lists this ribosomal RNA (252 nucleotides) under uncultured prokaryote. Its description in RNAcentral is "partial 16S ribosomal RNA". It matches the Rfam family "Bacterial small subunit ribosomal RNA", at positions 525 to 775 of the family's 1533-position model. The record is from RNAcentral.